This 72-nucleotide transfer RNA is filed under the name Treponema sp. Its description in RNAcentral is "tRNA-Met". It matches the Rfam family "tRNA". From Rfam's summary of the family: Transfer RNA (tRNA) molecules are approximately 80 nucleotides in length. Their secondary structure includes four short double-helical elements and three loops (D, anti-codon, and T loops). Lineage: Bacteria; Pseudomonadati; Spirochaetota; Spirochaetia; Treponematales; Treponemataceae. The record is from RNAcentral.
CGCAGGGUAAGUCAGCGGUAGAUUGCGUGGCUCAUGACCACGAUGUCGCGGGUUCGAUUCCCGCUCCUGCCA